This 253-nucleotide ribosomal RNA is filed under the name uncultured bacterium. Its description in RNAcentral is "partial 16S ribosomal RNA". It matches the Rfam family "Bacterial small subunit ribosomal RNA", at positions 524 to 776 of the family's 1533-position model. The record is from RNAcentral.
GACAGAGGGUGCAAACGUUGCUCGGAAUUACUGGGCGUAAAGCGCGUGUAGGCGGCCUUGCAAGUCGGAUGUGAAAGCCCACGGCUCAACCGUGGAAGUGCAUCCGAAACUGCAUAGCUUGAGUCUCGGAGAGGAAGGUGGAAUGCUUGGUGUAGAGGUGAAAUUCGUAGAUAUCAAGCAGAACACCUGCGGCGAAGGCGGCCUUCUGGACGAUGACUGACGCUGAGACGCGAAAGCGUGGGGAGCAAACAGG